GACGAACGCUGGCGGCGUGCUUAACACAUGCAAGUCGAACGUAGUGGCGAACGAGUGAGUAACGCGUAAUCAACCUGCCCUUCAGAGGGGGACAACAGUUGGAAACGACUGCUAAUACCGCAUACUGAAGGAGGGGAUUGCGUCUGAUUAGCUAGUUGGAGGGGUAACGGCCCACCAAGGUGAUGAUCAGUAGCCGGUCUGGAGGGGUUGACGGCCAAAAUGGGAAUGAGAAACGGCCCAGGAUCCUAAGGGAGGGAACAGUGGGGAAACAUCCGAAAUGGACGAAAGUCUGACGGAGCAACGCCGGGGGAGUGGUGAAGGCCUUCGGGUUGUAAAGCUCUGUUAAUCGGGGCGCGGUACCGGAAUAGAAAGCAACGGCUAACUACGUGCCAGCAGCCGCGGUAAUAC
This 408-nucleotide ribosomal RNA is filed under the name uncultured bacterium. RNAcentral's name for it is "partial 16S ribosomal RNA". It matches the Rfam family "Bacterial small subunit ribosomal RNA", at positions 28 to 526 of the family's 1533-position model. The record is from RNAcentral.